RNAcentral lists this unclassified non-coding RNA (936 nucleotides) under Hevea brasiliensis (rubber tree). Lineage: Eukaryota; Viridiplantae; Streptophyta; Magnoliopsida; Malpighiales; Euphorbiaceae. The record is from RNAcentral.
ACCAGUACCGCUGCUCCUGGUAUAGCCAAGGAAGUGUCUGUGCUUCAGGGCCGUCUAAGAAUGUGCACAUCAAAGCAACUGAAAACUACAUAUAAGCCAUAAAAUCUAUUCAUUUGGUAACAAUGCAUUGCAUGUAUUUUUCUUACCUCCGAUUCCAAAAGAAUCAUUCUACAAAUUGUGAAGCUAAGUAAUAAUCAAGAAGCUAUUGCAGCAGCUGCAUCCAAUUAAUGAAGAAGAAAAAAUAAUUCCUAUGGUAAGUAAACCAGCAAACAUUUCAUUGGCAACAAAUUUAGCACAUAAUCUUUUUAGCUAACAUAGAUAUGCCUAUAACAUAACUCUUAGAAGAUAUCACUUUGGCUUAAGGGUUGAGGGUGUUUGCAAGAUGACCAUCAAAUGCUAAUUCUUAAAAGGUAUGACAAAAAAAAACUCAAUCAAAUUUGACUUAUUCAUAACCAAGGCACACAGAGAACUGAAUAAGCAACAAUAGCAAACUUCAAAAGUUCCUAGUACAUAAACAGCAGCUUUUAUUUGGACUUCAAGUGGUUUAUGAUCUAGAAUCUUGAGUGCAAAGCAGUAAUUGGAGCAAUAGGUUAAAUCCUGACACAAAAUUCAUAGGGCAAAUCCAAAAAGAAAACAAAAUGAAAAGUCAUGUUAUUGUGUCAAAGAUUUUACACCUUAUAUACACUUAUUUGCCAGUAAUAAAGAGUAGUUUAGCCUCUGAGUCUGAAAUCCAUAAACAGUUGCAAAUAGAGCAAAAAAUUUAAACCAUCUAUGGAAGUGGCAACAUAAUCACUUCGAUCACAUGGAAUUAGAGAUUUUAUUUCUUGGGAACCCAAACCAACAGAUUACUAACCUUUACCAGACAAAUAAAUAAUAAACUUCUCUCAUGAGUUCACGAGCUAUUAAUCACCAGUAGCAAAUUUCAAAAUGAAUGCA